This 484-nucleotide ribosomal RNA is filed under the name uncultured soil bacterium. Its description in RNAcentral is "bacterial SSU rRNA". It matches the Rfam family "Bacterial small subunit ribosomal RNA", at positions 26 to 523 of the family's 1533-position model. The record is from RNAcentral.
AGGAUAAACGCUGGCGGCGUGCCUUAUGCAUGCAAGUCGAACGGUCUUUCCGCUUUCGGGCGGAAAGGUAGUGGCGAACGGGUGAGUAACACGUAUGUAACCUGUCCGGAAGUGGGGAAUAACCCUCCGAAGGGAGAGCUAAUUCCGCAUGUGGUCGCCGGUGAGAGACCGGUGGACAAAAGCUUUUUGCGCUUCCGGAGGGGCGUGCGGCCGAUUAGCUUGUUGGUGGGGUAACGGCUCACCAAGGCGACGAUCGGUAGCUGGUCUGAGAGGACGGCCAGUCACACGGGGGACUGAGACACGGCCCCGACUCCUACGGGAGCAGCAGCAAGGAUUUGCGCAAUGGGCGAAAGCCUGACGCAGCAACGCCGCGGUGGGGGAUGGAAGGCUCGUCGGGUCGUAAACCCCUUUUGCGAGGGGAAGUAACGUGACCGGUACCCUGACGAAUAAGCCGACGGCUAACUACGUGCCCGAGCCACGCCGC